Callithrix jacchus (white-tufted-ear marmoset) is the source of this 771-nucleotide non-coding RNA. Lineage: Eukaryota; Metazoa; Chordata; Mammalia; Primates; Cebidae. The record is from RefSeq and is a predicted model, not a curated record.
UGGAAAAUCAGGCUCAUGCCUCCGCGGAGAGUCAGUGCUUCCCCUGCUUCCCCUCACCAUCUCGCUUUCCCCUAAAGGGAGGUGUUUCCUCGAAGCUGGGAAAAGUCAAGGGGGCAGAGACCUCAGCAGCCACGGGGAGGCGGCACUCGGUUCUUCACACGUUCUGUGUCUGCACGUGCUCUCCAUGCCUCCUGAGUCACAAGUUUGAUCGGUGUCCCCCUCUCCCUCUUGGCAUUGAUCCCUUGAAGCUCAGCGCUGAGAGAAUUCAAGCCUUUCAUCUCAAGAAGGAGAAAUCAAGUCUUAGAGCAAGACACCUCAGAGCCACUAAAAGGGAACAUGGAACCUGGUAGACCCCACCCUCCUGCCUCCCAGGCUGUGAAUUUUCUAACCCCAGGGGCAAUCAGGAGGACCCAGCACCUGGGAUGUUCAGCACAGCAGAGCUGUUCCAGCACUCCCUGCAGUUCAAGCAGCUGGGUUGCCUCGAGAGUGCCCAGGCCUUGCCCAGGGGACCCAUGGUACCCAGUCCAGCCAGUAGCAGCAGCUGCUCAGCUACCCCAAGAACUUGGGCUAGAAGGAGCAUGUUGAAAGGAGACUCUUUUGAUGACCCAGGCAUCCUCCACCCCAGCCCAUCCCCACUCCAAGCUGUUGGGUGUGCAAGCCCAGGGAUACUGCUACCUCCACCCUGGUGACCCCCCAACUCCUGAGCCCACAGACAUGCCAAGACACAGUUCAUGCAGGCCCUGCCACCUGAGAACUCAGACCCUAGCAAAA